Molecule: non-coding RNA, 2043 nt
Organism: Lolium perenne
Lineage: Eukaryota; Viridiplantae; Streptophyta; Magnoliopsida; Poales; Poaceae
Source: RefSeq, a predicted model, not a curated record
CGCACCGCCCCGGCCUGGAUAGCCGUCCUGGUAGGCGGCGCCCAUCCUCCCAGCCAUGGGGGGCCGCAAUCGGCGAUGGCACACGAAGCGCCACCACGGCGGCUCUCCGAACCCUCGUUCCCCGCUUCCGUCGUAUCCUGGACUUCCUGAAAAGUGAAAAUUUCACGAAAAAAAUUAACAACUGCACCUUCUGCUCCAAAACACAAGCCCAGAAGCAUGCAGCCGGCGAGUCCACCUUCUGCUCCCUCGGCGGUCCACUACGUGCCGUAGAGUUUACCGCCCGGAUUACAGCCGUGCCUUGGCCGUCUAGUGCAAUUCUUCUAUGAAAACAAACUAAAUGAUCAUAGUGAGUUCAUUUCGUGUAAAAGUGAAGUUCACUCUGCAAUAAAAUAAAUUUCAUUUGUAUAAAAUGCAUGUUAUUGAAAGAGCAAUCUUGUUUUUGUUGUAUAAAAGCAUUAUCUAGCGUUUCUUUUGCUCUUGACCAUCUACCUGUCCACUAGUGUCCUUAUGGUGCUUUUUCUGUAAAGGUAAGGAGCAUUACUUGAUCGAGCCUCCUAUGUUAUAUCUAAUAUGUGGAAUGAUGAUCUGGUAAUACUCCGUGGGGAUUUCAACAAUAAACUUAAGAUUUUCACCACGUGUGGUGGCAGUGAACUCCGGCACCCUUUUCUGGGAAGUCUAGUUUCGUUGUCGUCACACAGGCUGGACUUGAUGGCGGGCGGCCACCUGUUCAUCACGGUGGCGCAACAUGCGGAAUAAGCUAGCACGUGAUGUAACCAACACGGGAGUUCACCCUGCGCUGUCCUGGGAGUCCAUGGCUUCGGCGGGUCGUUAAUGCCCAGGUCAGCCUGCUCCUCGCACGGUUGUCGCUAUGCUGGUUGCUGCUAUGCAAAAUGCUACUGCUGCAUGUGAUUUUAUUCUUGGUCGUACUUGCUUGUGUGCCUUACAUCGCUAAGCAGUUCACUUCUAAAUUGUGAGCAGUUCGUUUAGGCCAAAAAUAUGGAGUUCACAUUCCUUUUAAAUUAAGAUAGAAGAAAAAUGUCCUCGGUAAAAUUGAUAGUUUUAGGAAGUUCAUUCGUUUCAGUUUAGACAGUGCACUUGUUAUUUAUUUCCAUCUUACAAUUCAAUUUUUAAUCGAACUUCUGUUUUAUUGUUUGCAAAGUUCAUUCCAAGUUGAUUUCAUCCAUAAGAUUGUGACAUAUAGCAGGUAGAUUCAAUCAUAUGACCUUUGUUAAUAACUAUAAUUCUAUAUGUGAAUGAGUUCAGAUUUGGCAAAAAUUGUUAAAUUUGCAUUGACUCUUUUGAAUUUAUUCAUUACAUAUUUGCAACGACAUCUAAAGCAGGAUUAGAAAAUGCAAGAAAUAUGAAGUUUAAUAUUUUGGUGUAAAUGAAAAAUGAUGUGUACUAAAUGCGUGAUAUGAAGUUCAGUAUUUCCUUGCUGUGAUGUCAACUUUUAUUACUAAACAUACCCUCUGAUAGUAACAACAGUUCACCUUGUUAAAAAAGAACCAUUGCUGGGUAGUUUACUAUGCCUGGACUGGGGAUUCAGUCUUGCUAGUAUGUACGUGCUGAUGCGUUUUAGACCGUAAAAAGGUAGAAGUUCAGUCUGCUUAUAAAAGAACGUUUACAUUUCAUUUUGUACUGAUGCUUUUCGACUUUCUAACACCAUGGAUAUGCGCUCAAGUUUCUGGUCUCAAAUCAGUUCAUUUUUUUAUGGUUCAUCUUUCUAUUUGUUUGAAGUGGUCUAAUUUUGGCCUAACAAAUUUGAUGUCUUAUAAUUGAGCCAUUUAUGUGAAUCAGGGGGCUGGACUUCCAAGACAAGGUAGCAGUAGUUGGAAGUCAGCUCCAUGCAAAAGGCAGGACUGGUGGACUACGAUGAGCCCUGGUGGUGGUCUAGCCAUCAAUGGCUUUGUCUCCUAGGGCAUCAGGAAAUUCUUUGUUGUCAUGACUCUGUGUGCUGCCCUGAGUUGAUGUGAAGUUCAGUUAGCUAGCUUUUUCAGUGUAAGUUCGUUUUAAGUCCAUGAGUAGUUCAGUCAUUGGGCUCUG